This 477-nucleotide long non-coding RNA is filed under the name Bos taurus (domestic cattle). Its description in RNAcentral is "long non-coding RNA NONBTAT026804". The record is from RNAcentral. Lineage: Eukaryota; Metazoa; Chordata; Mammalia; Artiodactyla; Bovidae.
CUUAAAUCAAGUUCCAUCCAAUAAAAAAAUCAUUAUACUUUUUCCUACUCAUUGAAUUUUCAAAGGACAGAUGUUAACUUUUCUCAUGGGUUCACAGGAUUUCAUUGAACAAAUUCAUUCAAAUAAUUCCCUUUCAACUCCAUUUUCUAAAAAAAUGGUGGACCUUUUUAUACUUUAAAGGUAUGAAGUUAAAUUUCUGUUGUUGAUGGUUUAAAAUUGCCAUCACUUCUUUUAAAUAAUUGUACACAUUUUAAUUUAAUCCUAUUUCCUUUCUGCUUCUCCUCCAUUUGGUUUAUUAAAAAAAUCUUGCCAAUUGGAAGCAUAAUAAUAUAAUGGCUUAAAACAGGUUUAUUUCUGGGUACUCUGUUGAUCACAUUGAUCCUGUUAAAAAUAUAUUGGCAUUGGCAUUUUUAUCAAGUAAUGUAAUGAAUAUAACAGUGCUGAAUAGCAGGAGUUAAUUAUGAGUAAAGUAUGAAA